This 253-nucleotide ribosomal RNA is filed under the name uncultured bacterium. Its description in RNAcentral is "partial 16S ribosomal RNA". It matches the Rfam family "Bacterial small subunit ribosomal RNA", at positions 524 to 776 of the family's 1533-position model. The record is from RNAcentral.
CACGUAGGGGACGAGCGUUGUUCGGAAUUACUGGGCGUAAAGGGCGCGUAGGCGGCCUGUUAAGUCGAACGUGAAAUCCCCGGGCUCAACCCGGGAACUGCGUCCGAUACUGGCAGGCUUGAAUUCGGGAGAGGGAUGUGGAAUUCCAGGUGUAGCGGUGAAAUGCGUAGAUAUCUGGAGGAACACCGGUGGCGAAGGCGGCAUCCUGGACCGAUAUUGACGCUGAUGCGCGAAAGCCAGGGGAGCAAACGGG